This 301-nucleotide ribosomal RNA is filed under the name uncultured bacterium. RNAcentral describes it as "partial 16S ribosomal RNA". It matches the Rfam family "Bacterial small subunit ribosomal RNA", at positions 509 to 808 of the family's 1533-position model. The record is from RNAcentral.
CAGUCGCCGCGGGAAAACGUAGGGGGCAAGCGUUAUCCGGAAUUAUUGGGCGUAAAGAGUGCGUAGGUGGUCUACUAAGCGCGAGGUGAAAGGCAAUGGCUCAACCAUUGUUAGCCUUGCGAACUGGCAGACUUGAGUGCAAGAGAGGAAAGCGGAAUUCCUAGUGUAGCGGUGAAAUGCGCAGAUAUUAGGAGGAACACCGGCGGCGAAGGCGGCUUUCUGGAUUGUAACUGACACUGAGGCACGAAAGCGUGGGUAGCAAACAGGAUUAGAUACCCCAGUAGUCCCUGUCUCUUAUACA